Molecule: ribosomal RNA, 440 nt
Filed under: uncultured bacterium
Lineage: Bacteria
Description: partial 16S ribosomal RNA
Rfam family: Bacterial small subunit ribosomal RNA
Source: RNAcentral
CCUACGGGAGGCAGCAGUGGGGGAUAUUGCACAAUGGGGGGAACCCUGAUGCAGCGACGCCGCGUGGGUGAAGAAGCGCCUCGGCGCGUAAAGCCCUGUCAGCAGGGAAGAAAAUGACGGUACCUGACGAAGAAGCCGCGGCUAACUACGUGCCAGCAGCCGCGGUAAUACGUAGGGGGCAAGCGUUAUCCGGAUUUACUGGGUGUAAAGGGGGCGCAGACGGCGAUGCAAGCCAGGAGUGAAAGCCCGGGGCCCAACCCCGGGACUGCUCUUGGAACUGCGUGGCUGGAGUGCAGGAGGGGCAGGCGGAAUUCCUGGUGUAGCGGUGAAAUGCGUAGAUAUCAGGAGGAACACCGGUGGCGAAGGCGGCCUGCUGGACUGCAACUGACGUUGAGGCCCGAAAGCGUGGGGAGCAAACAGGAUUAGAUACCCGGGUAGUC